Molecule: ribosomal RNA, 1456 nt
Filed under: metagenome
Description: bacterial SSU rRNA
Rfam family: Bacterial small subunit ribosomal RNA
Source: RNAcentral
AGAGUUUGAUCCUGGCUCAGGACGAACGCUGGCGGCGCGCCUAAUGCAUGCAAGUCGAACGAAGACCAACCCUCGGGUGAAGUCUUAGUGGCAGACGGCUGAGUAACGCGUGAGUGACCUGCCCUGGAGAGGGGGAUAACAUCGGGAAACCGAUGCUAAUACCGCGUACGCUCAUCAGUCCAAAGGCUGGUGAGGAAACGAAUUUCGCUCUAGGAGGGGCUCGCGUCCUAUCAGGUAGUUGGUGGGGUAAUGGCCUACCAAGCCGAAGACGGGUACCUGGUGUGAGAGCACGACCAGGCAGAGGGGGACUGAAACACGGCCCCCACUCCUACGGGAGGCAGCAGCAGGGAAUCUUCCACAAUGGGCGAAAGCCUGAUGGAGCGACGCCGCGUGAGGGAUGAAGGCUUUCGGGUCGUAAACCUCUUUUCUCAGGGAAGAGUAAGGACGGUACCUGAGGAAUAAGCAUCGGCUAACUACGUGCCAGCAGCCGCGGUAAUACGUAGGAUGCAAGCGUUGUCCGGAAUCACUGGGCGUAAAGGGUCCGUAGGCGGUUUGUUAAGUCUCCUGUGAAAGUUCAAGGCUCAACCUUGAAAUGUCGGGGGAUACUGGCAAACUUGAGACUGUCAGAGGCAAGUGGAAUUCCCGGUGUAGUGGUGAAAUGCGUAGAUAUCGGGAGGAACACCAGUGGCGAAAGCGGCUUGCUGGGACAGUUCUGACGCUGAGGGACGAGAGCGUGGGUAGCAAACCGGAUUAGAUACCCGGGUAGUCCACGCCCUAAACGAUGGAUGCUAGGUUUGCGGGGUAUCGACCCCCUGUGAGCCGUAGGAAACCCGUUAAGCAUCCCGCCUGGGGACUACGACCGCAAGGUUAAAACUCAAAGGAAUUGACGGGGGCCCGCACAAGCAGCGGAGCGUGUGGUUUAAUUCGAUGCUAAGCGAAAAACCUUACCAGGGCUUGACAUGUAGGUGGUACUGAUCCGAAAGGUGAGGGACCCGCAAGGGAGCCUACACAGGUGCUGCAUGGUUGUCGUCAGCUCGUGCCGUGAGGUGUUGGGUUAAGUCCCGCAACGAGCGCAACCCUUGUCGUUAGUUACACUCUCUAACGAGACUGCCCCUAAAAGGGAGGAAGGAGGGGAUGACGUCAAAUCAUCAUGGCUCUUACGUCCUGGGCUACACACACGCUACAAUGGCCAGUACAGACGGUUGCUAAGUCGCGAGGCGGAGCCAAUCCGACAAAGCUGGUCUCAGUUGGGAUUGCAGGCUGAAACUCGCCUGCAUGAACGUGGAGUUGCUAGUAACCGCAGGUCAGCAUACUGCGGUGAAUACGUUCCCGGGCCUUGUACACACCGCCCGUCACGUCAUGGAAGAUGGCAACACUUGAAGUCGCCGGGCUAACCCUUCGGGGAAGCAGGUGUCGAGGGUGGGGCUGUUGACUGGGACGAAGUCGUAACAAGGUA